This 498-nucleotide ribosomal RNA is filed under the name uncultured bacterium. Its description in RNAcentral is "partial 16S ribosomal RNA". It matches the Rfam family "Bacterial small subunit ribosomal RNA", at positions 30 to 523 of the family's 1533-position model. The record is from RNAcentral.
AUUGAACGCUGGCGGCAUGCCUUACACAUGCAAGUCGAACGGUAACGGGCCUUCGGGUGCCGACGAGUGGCGAACGGGUGAGUAAUACAUCGGAACGUGCCCGAUCGUGGGGGAUAACGAGGCGAAAGCUUUGCUAAUACCGCAUACGAUCUACGGAUGAAAGCAGGGGACCGCAAGGCCUUGCGCGGACGGAGCGGCCGAUGGCAAAUUAGGUAGUUGGUGGGAUAAAAGCUUACCAAGCCGACGAUCUGUAGCUGGUCUGAGAGGAUGAUCAGCCACACUGGGACUGAGACACGGCCCAGACUCCUACGGGAGGCAGCAGUGGGGAAUUUUGGACAAUGGGCGCAAGCCUGAUCCAGCCAUGCCGCGUGCAGGAUGAAGGCCUUCGGGUUGUAAACUGCUUUUGUACGGAACGAAAAGCCUUCUUCUAAUACAGGAGGGUCAUGUCGGUACCGUAAGAAUAAGCACCGGCUAACUACGUGCCAGCCGCCGCGGUAA